CAGUAGCCGCGGUAAUACGAAGGGUGCAAGCGUUAAUCGGAAUUACUGGGCGUAAAGCGCGCGUAGGUGGUUUGGUAAGAUGGAUGUGAAAUCCCCGGGCUCAACCUGGGAACUGCAUCCAUAACUGCCUGACUAGAGUACGGUAGAGGGUGGUGGAAUUUCCUGUGUAGCGGUGAAAUGCGUAGAUAUAGGAAGGAACACCAGUGGCGAAGGCGACCACCUGGACUGAUACUGACACUGAGGUGCGAAAGCGUGGGGAGCAAACAGGAUUAGAUACCACUGUAGUCCCUGUCUCUUAUAC
This 301-nucleotide ribosomal RNA is filed under the name uncultured bacterium. Its description in RNAcentral is "partial 16S ribosomal RNA". It matches the Rfam family "Bacterial small subunit ribosomal RNA", at positions 509 to 807 of the family's 1533-position model. The record is from RNAcentral.